AUUAGGUCAUUCUUGGAUUUUAGCCAGUCUGGCAUUAAGUUGUCGGGUUGGUGAAAACCAUCGUUUACUGUGAAAAAAUUAGAGUGUUCAAAGCAGACUUAUGUCGUUGAAUAGAUUAGCAUGGAAUAAUAAUAUAGGACUUUUGUACUAUUUUGUUGGUUAGGUGUAAAAGUAAUGAUCAAUAGGGACAGUUGGGCGUAUUCGUAUUUCGUUGCUAGAGGUGAAAUUCUUGGAUUUCCGAAAGACGAACUACUGCGAAAGCAUUUACGAAGGAUGUUUUCAUUAAUCAAGAACGAAAGUUAGGGGAUCGAAGAUGAUUAGAUACCAUCGUAGUCUUAACCAUAAACUAUGCCGACUCGGGAUUGGGC
This 368-nucleotide ribosomal RNA is filed under the name Porosira sp. RCC4599. RNAcentral describes it as "SSU rRNA". It matches the Rfam family "Eukaryotic small subunit ribosomal RNA", at positions 688 to 1058 of the family's 1831-position model. Lineage: Eukaryota; Bacillariophyta; Thalassiosirophyceae; Thalassiosirales; Thalassiosiraceae. The record is from RNAcentral.